This 1123-nucleotide ribosomal RNA is filed under the name Metabacillus galliciensis. Its description in RNAcentral is "bacterial SSU rRNA". It matches the Rfam family "Bacterial small subunit ribosomal RNA", at positions 343 to 1456 of the family's 1533-position model. Lineage: Bacteria; Bacillati; Bacillota; Bacilli; Caryophanales; Bacillaceae. The record is from RNAcentral.
GGGAGGCAGCAGUAGGGAAUCUUCCGCAAUGGACGAAAGUCUGACGGAGCAACGCCGCGUGAGUGAUGAAGGCCUUCGGGUCGUAAAGCUCUGUUGUUAGGGAAGAACAAGUACCGUUCAAAUAGGGCGGUACCAUGACGGUACCUAACCAGAAAGCCACGGCUAACUACGUGCCAGCAGCCGCGGUAAUACGUAGGUGGCAAGCGUUGUCCGGAAUUAUUGGGCGUAAAGGGCUCGCAGGCGGUUCCUUAAGUCUGAUGUGAAAGCCCACGGCUCAACCGUGGAGGGUCAUUGGAAACUGGGGAACUUGAGUACAGAAGAGGAGAGUGGAAUUCCACGUGUAGCGGUGAAAUGCGUAGAGAUGUGGAGGAACACCAGUGGCGAAGGCGACUCUCUGGUCUGUAACUGACGCUGAGGAGCGAAAGCGUGGGGAGCGAACAGGAUUAGAUACCCUGGUAGUCCACGCCGUAAACGAUGAGUGCUAAGUGUUAGAGGGUUUCCGCCCUUUAGUGCUGCAGCAAACGCAUUAAGCACUCCGCCUGGGGAGUACGGUCGCAAGACUGAAACUCAAAGGAAUUGACGGGGGCCCGCACAAGCGGUGGAGCAUGUGGUUUAAUUCGAAGCAACGCGAAGAACCUUACCAGGUCUUGACAUCCCAUGACAACUCUAGAGAUAGAGCGUUCCCCUUCGGGGGACAUGGUGACAGGUGGUGCAUGGUUGUCGUCAGCUCGUGUCGUGAGAUGUUGGGUUAAGUCCCGCAACGAGCGCAACCCUUGAUCUUAGUUGCCAGCAUUUAGUUGGGCACUCUAAGGUGACUGCCGGUGACAAACCGGAGGAAGGUGGGGAUGACGUCAAAUCAUCAUGCCCCUUAUGACCUGGGCUACACACGUGCUACAAUGGAUGGUACAAAGGGCUGCGAGACUGCGAAGUUAAGCGAAUCCCAUAAAACCAUUCUCAGUUCGGAUUGCAGGCUGCAACUCGCCUGCAUGAAGCUGGAAUCGCUAGUAAUCGUGGAUCAGCAUGCCACGGUGAAUACGUUCCCGGGCCUUGUACACACCGCCCGUCACACCACGAGAGUUUGUAACACCCGAAGUCGGUGGAGUAACCGUAAGGAGCUAGCCGC